CGUGAACCAUCGAGUCUUUGAACGCAAGUUGCGCCCGAAGCCAUUAGGCCGAGGGCACGUCUGCCUGGGCGUCACGC
This 77-nucleotide ribosomal RNA is filed under the name Gentiana occidentalis. RNAcentral describes it as "partial 5.8S ribosomal RNA". It matches the Rfam family "5.8S ribosomal RNA", at positions 83 to 154 of the family's 154-position model. Rfam says of the family: 5.8S ribosomal RNA (5.8S rRNA) is a component of the large subunit of the eukaryotic ribosome. It is transcribed by RNA polymerase I as part of the 45S precursor that also contains 18S and 28S rRNA. The record is from RNAcentral. Lineage: Eukaryota; Viridiplantae; Streptophyta; Magnoliopsida; Gentianales; Gentianaceae.